Molecule: non-coding RNA, 207 nt
Organism: Cricetulus griseus (Chinese hamster)
Lineage: Eukaryota; Metazoa; Chordata; Mammalia; Rodentia; Cricetidae
Source: RefSeq, a predicted model, not a curated record
CCUGCUCCAGCGCCAUGAUGUGAUCCACUGACAAGGAGGGACGCCAAUAAGGCAGUUUAGUUCUUGUUGCUUGCAAGAUGUAGGACUCUCGGCUCCCGCACUAUAUCUGCCUAGAAGCCAUGUUCUGCAUCAUGAUGCUUAAGGAAUGAACCUCUGAAACUCGCCUUCAUCCCAUGGCUGAUGGAAGCAGAGGCAGACACCCACAGC